CAGCCGCCACGGUAAUACGGAGGGAGCUAGCGUUGUUCGGAAUUACUGGGCGUAAAGCGCACGUAGGCGGCUUUGUAAGCUAGAGGUGAAAGCCUGGAGCUCAACUCCAGAAUUGCCUUUAAGACUGCAUCGCUUGAAUCCAGGAGAGGUGAGUGGAAUUCCGAGUGUAGAGGUGAAAUUCGUAGAUAUUCGGAAGAACACCAGUGGCGAAGGCGGCUCACUGGACUGGUAUUGACGCUGAGGUGCGAAAGCGUGGGGAGCAAACAGGAUUAGAUACCCCAGUAGUCCCUGUCUCUUAUAC
This 301-nucleotide ribosomal RNA is filed under the name uncultured bacterium. RNAcentral's name for it is "partial 16S ribosomal RNA". It matches the Rfam family "Bacterial small subunit ribosomal RNA", at positions 509 to 807 of the family's 1533-position model. The record is from RNAcentral.